Molecule: ribosomal RNA, 397 nt
Filed under: uncultured bacterium
Lineage: Bacteria
Description: partial 16S ribosomal RNA
Rfam family: Bacterial small subunit ribosomal RNA
Source: RNAcentral
AUACGUAGGGUGCAAGCGUUAAUCGGAAUUACUGGGCGUAAAGGGUGUGUAGGCGGAUGUAUGUGUCAGAUGUGAAAUACCUCGGCUUAACUGAGGCAUUGCGUUUGAAACUGUACAUCUUGAGCAUGUCAGGGGUAAGCGGAAUUCCCGGAGUAGCGGUGAAAUGCGUAGAUAUCGGGAAGAACACCGGUGGCGAAGGCGGAUUACGGGGGCAUAGCGGAGGCGGAGGAACGAAAGCGUGGGGGGCGAACGGGAUUAGAUCACCCGGUAGUCCACGCCGUAAACGAGGGAUACGAGAUGUCAGUUGCAUAAGAGCAGUUGGUAUCGAAGCCAACGCGAUAAGUAUCCCGCCUGGGGAGUACGGUCGCGAGAUUAAAACUCAAAUGAAUUGACGGGG